GGGGAUAUAAUUCAGUGGUAGAAUGCUUGCCUAGCAUGCAUGAGGCUUUGGAUUUGAGUUCUAGCACCUCA
This 71-nucleotide transfer RNA is filed under the name Heterocephalus glaber (naked mole-rat). It matches the Rfam family "tRNA". From Rfam's summary of the family: Transfer RNA (tRNA) molecules are approximately 80 nucleotides in length. The record is from Rfam by way of RNAcentral. Lineage: Eukaryota; Metazoa; Chordata; Mammalia; Rodentia; Bathyergidae.